AGGACGAACGCUGGCGGCGUGCUUAACACAUGCAAGUCGAACGAUGACUUUUGUGCUUGCACAGAAUGAUUAGUGGCGAACGGGUGAGUAACACGUGAGUAACCUGCCCCUGACUCUGGGAUAAGCCUGGGAAACUGGGUCUAAUACCGGAUAUGCACCGUGGACCGCAUGGUUCUUGGUGGAAAGAAUUUUGGUCAGGGAUGGACUCGCGGCCUAUCAGCUUGUUGGUGAGGUAAUGGCUCACCAAGGCGACGACGGGUAGCCGGCCUGAGAGGGUGACCGGCCACACUGGGACUGAGACACGGCCCAGACUCCUACGGGAGGCAGCAGUGGGGAAUAUUGCACAAUGGGCGAAAGCCUGAUGCAGCGACGCCGCGUGAGGGAUGACGGCCUUCGGGUUGUAAACCUCUUUCAGUAGGGAAGAAGCGAAAGUGACGGUACCUGCAGAAGAAGCGCCGGCUAACUACGUGCCAGC
RNAcentral lists this ribosomal RNA (475 nucleotides) under uncultured bacterium. Its description in RNAcentral is "bacterial SSU rRNA". It matches the Rfam family "Bacterial small subunit ribosomal RNA", at positions 26 to 512 of the family's 1533-position model. The record is from RNAcentral.